Molecule: long non-coding RNA, 2572 nt
Organism: Cyprinus carpio (common carp)
Lineage: Eukaryota; Metazoa; Chordata; Actinopteri; Cypriniformes; Cyprinidae
Exons: 3
Source: RefSeq, a predicted model, not a curated record
UCCCUGGAACAAAAGACAUCUCGGAUAAUAUUAUACAGUGGACCAGACUUGAGCUAAAUUACUUUUAACAAAUUAAUUAACACACUGUAGGAACCUGUAACAUACCUGUUUAUUGAGAUCAGGUAAAUCUAGAGCUAGUCUGGCCAUCUUUGGGAUCAGCAAAUGGAGAUUAUUGUCCUUUGAGUGCUGCUAUGAUUGCCAUGAUCAGAUUUUAGGGUAAUUAAACAAACUUCAAUUGGAGUAGGAGAAAGAAAGAAAAACAAAAAAAGUAUGUAAUGUAAAUCAAACUUGUAUACUGAAGGGGAAAAAAGGAUGCUGAAAUAGGCCACCCAUUUCCUUUCAAUUAAAAUUACUACACACUAUGUAGUGCUUUAAUUCAUACUGUAGUGUAUGGAACUCUUUUGAUUCUGUGAAUUGUGUGUACAGGCUUUAAAAACAUUAUUGUUUUUUAAAGUAGUUACCAUAACUCAAGUGAAGCAGAAUUGGGAGGGGAAAAGGGUAAAUAAUAUCUCCUCACUUGUUCGUUUUUAAUACUCCCAGAUGUUCAUUCGUCACGUUAACCACAAGAUGACGCCACACUCCAAUUAUUAUAACCAUUCAUUUCUUUUAUAAACUUGUCUUACUCACGCUGAAAUUAAUUUUGUUUCUAGCUACACUCUCAGGAGAAAAGGUACAAAGGCUGUAACUGGGACGGUACAAUUCUAAAGGGUACACUGUUGUGCCUUAUUAACUCCUAAAGGAUGCAUAUUAGAAUCUUAAAGGUACAUAUUGGUGCCUUAAAUGUACAUGUUAGUUCCUAAAUGGUACAUAUAAGUACCUUUUGAAAGGGUACUGCCCCAGUGACAACUUUUGUACCUUUUUUCCUGAAACUGUAUUUUUCUGUAUUGUUCUUAAAAUGAGGUGUUUUCACAAAACUGCAGCUGCUAACCACUGGCCGUUGUGUCUCAGUUAGGCCUGCAUAAUGUCUGUUGGACAAACCUGCAUUCACUGGUGCCUGAAACCCUCAGCGGGACGCCAUGGACAGAGAUUCACCUCAGGCAAGAGGAACAACAGCUCUCUUUAAAUGUGAAAAGCUCUCCCUGUUUGAGUCAGAUGGUUGCUCCUUUCCUGAGGGUUUUUUUUUCUCCUGCACCCUCUGCUGUCUGACCCAUCACAUGAUUGGCCUUCUGUCCCGAGCUGCAAUCUCAUUAUCUCUGCUACUUCCACUGGCCCUACAACCCCAAACUCAACAGCAAAAUACUGAAUACAUUGACUCAGUGUUGAAUCGGGUUUAUAAUAUUACAGUCAUUAUAUACCCUUAACAAUGGCAAAUCUAAAAAAUAAUCAAUAUGCAAGCAUAAAUUGCAGAUACCUCUUUUUGAGAGCUCGUAUAUCUUGGAUGACACACUUUCUUCCAGCUUUCUCCAUUUUCAUCCAAUUAGGAGGACUGUGGCAUGAUUGAGACAGACAGAAUGUCCUCUUCAAUCGCUGCCUCUGCCUCUGAUGUGGCUGUUAAUGUCUGUCUGAGUUAUGGAACUGCAUAUGAUCCAGCAGCUUUAUGCAACACACGGUGCCUAAGCUCUUCGUCUGGCCCCAAACCUCCAGACUAACGUUCAGUCAUGCUCAUCAAGACUGCAGAUCUAUUGUUCUUUCCUCAGCAGCUCCAGUCUAGCCCAGGCGCUCUCGCUCUCCCCCACCCUCCCUUCAUUCUCUCUGCUGGAUAAUUCCCAUGAUAUGUUCUUGCCAUUGGGGUGGGGCGUACCAUUCUCAAUGAGGGUGCCCUACGAGAUCUUAACAGGAGAGGAAUGAGAGAGGAAUAACAAUUAUGUCACUGCAUGAAAGCAAACGCUUGAUGAACUAACAAAAUGGACGACGUGAGUUCUGUGCUCUUUCCACGAUAACAUCGCAGAGACAAUAGAGCAUCAGAACAAAUCACAAAUGUACAAAUGCAGGGGCGAGAGAAAGCCAGGAAAGCAGAUGAAAGAUCAGGCUGAUGAACACCGUCUGUCUCUGUCACCUCAUGCCCAGAAGCUGAAUUCAAACCUUAACAUGACACCGUCUCUGCCAAACGCAGCGCCGCUGACUGCUGCCAGAUUGCCAUACAUCUGUUUCACAGCUAAACUACUGCUGUUCCUUUCUGCUGGAUCUGAAGCAGAAAAAUCACCAAAAUGUACUGUUUAAUUCACGUUCCUGUUUGAACGAUUGACCGUGCAUGUUAUUCCAGAGAAAACAAUGUAAUGAGAUUAAUAAACAGUUGAUAUCUAAGGGUUGAGAGAGGUUGAGUUUGCCCUUCUCUGACCUCUCUAUUGUGAGGUUUGCAGCAGUCUGAACCAGUCCUUUCACUGCCUGCUGCUUUUUAGAGGACGGCGCACACCACUGCUGUGCUUCUAAUUCAUGAUUUAAAAACACUUUGGCUAGUUGCCCGUGAGAAAAACAUGUCCCUGAACACAUCGAGCCUCAUUCAUGAAACGCAAGUGGAAGGAAUUUCUGUGUAAACUGUUUAGACAUCUAAUACAACAAUUUACAUGAAAUGUAAUCUUUUAAGUGUUCUCUUUUUAAUCACGGCUGCAUUUAUUUGAUUUAAAAUACAGUA